UUUUUUGUACGCCAUAAUAUCGUACGAUGUUCACGUUUUAUCGUGCCGUCCAUAAUAUCAUAUAAUAAAAGUACCAUUAAAUAUUAUGUACGAUAUAUUAUUAUUACAUAUCGCGACUUUACACAAAUUAACGAAAACCGUAUAAAUUCUCGUACGGGACUUUUCGUGAACAAAAUGCGUUUUUAGUGUGCUCGGACCGACCGCGGUUGAAAUUUCGCCGGGAAAUCGAGUCGCGCGAGGUGUUGUCACUGCUUCGAAAAUUCAAAAAAUGUUAUUGCCACAAUGAUAUAGGUACACCUGUCACCUAUAGGCUAUAGGUUGUGGUCCGAGAGUUGAGUCGAGGGUUUCGGUCAAGUUGAGGUCCAUUCGCUCCUGGUCGUAAACAUGGCAUUCAGUCAAGAUGUGAUUGACGGUGAGAUGUUGGCCGCAGGCUUCACAGAAGGGGGGUUUCGUCAUUGGACAUGAGAUAUCCGUGGGUCGCUCAAUCGUGUUUACAGACCAUGACGUGAAAAAAAUAAAAUAGACUUCCAGUCUUGACAAUAUAAUGGCACGUCAACAGGUAUUCAAAUAUUCAAAUAUCAUAUAUUAUUUAUCGUGUUUUUAUGACCACUACAUCAGUGGUUCAACAAUGUUAACUCUGCAGUAGUAUAGACCCUAUUUAUUUGGUCUUUUCAAUUUUUUAAUAAUCCAUUUGGUUUAUUUACCUAAAACUUUAUUAUGUAUGUACCUAUUGUAAGUUGUAACUAUCUGUCUGUUUUUUUAAUAAUUCACACUUUAUGAUAUGGCGUUAUAGGAAGUAUUAUUGUGUUAUAAUUAUAUAUUUUAUUUUUUUUUUUCUCAUCUCGCUUUAUUUGUAUUAUAUUUGUAUUAAUAUAUUGAAUAUUCUAUAAACAUCUAAAUGUUUUCAAUCUGUGUAAAUCGAGUUAAUUCGUUAUGCUUUAUUUUUUAUA
Molecule: long non-coding RNA, 950 nt
Organism: Metopolophium dirhodum (rose-grain aphid)
Lineage: Eukaryota; Metazoa; Arthropoda; Insecta; Hemiptera; Aphididae
Exons: 4
Source: RefSeq, a predicted model, not a curated record